Molecule: ribosomal RNA, 464 nt
Filed under: uncultured bacterium
Lineage: Bacteria
Description: partial 16S ribosomal RNA
Rfam family: Bacterial small subunit ribosomal RNA
Source: RNAcentral
CUACGGGGCGCUGCAGUGGGGAAUAUUGCACAAUGGGGGAAACCCUGAUGCAGCGACGCCGCGUGCGGGAAGAAGGCCUUAGGGUUGUAAACCGCUUUCAAUUGUGAAGAAGGGAUGAGAGUUAAUAGCUUUCUGACUUGACGGUAGCAUUAGAAGAAGCACCGGCUAAUUUCGUGCCAGCAGCCGCGGUAAUACGAAAGGUGCAAGCGUUGUUCGGAUUUACUGGGCGUAAAGAGAUCGUAGGUGGUUUGUUAAGUCGGAUGUGAAAUCCCGGGGCUCAACCUCGGAACUGCAUCCGAUACUGGCAGGCUAGAGUUCGGGAGGGGAAUGCGGAAUUCCGUGUGUAGCAGUGAAAUGCGUAGAUAUACGGAGGAACACCUGAGGCGAAGGCGGCAUUCUGGACCGAUACUGACACUGAGGAUCGAAAGCGUGGGUAGCAAACAGGAUUAGAUACCCCGGUAGUC